GGUUAAGCGACUAAGCGUACACGGUGGAUGCCCUGGCAGUCAGAGGCGAUGAAGGACGUGCUAAUCUGCGAAAAGCGUCGGUAAGGUGAUAUGAACCAAUAUAGCCGGCGAUGUCCGAAUGGGGAAACCCAGUGCAAUUCGUUGCACUAUCGUUAACUGAAUACAUAGGUUAACGAGGCGAACCGGGGGAACUGAAACAUCUAAGUACCCCGAGGAAAAGAAAUCAACCGAGAUUCCCCCAGUAGCGGCGAGCGAACGGGGAGCAGCCCGGAGUCUGAAUCAGCUUGUGUGCUAGUGGAAGCGUCUGGAAAGUCGCAGGGUACAGGGUGAUACUCCCGUACACUAAAGCACACAGGUUGUGAACUCGAAGAGUAGGGCGGGACACGUGGUAUCCUGUCUGAAUAUGGGGGGACCAUCCUCCAAGGCUAAAUACUCCUGACUGACCGAUAGUGAACCAGUACCGUGAGGGAAAGGCGAAAAGAACCCCGGCGAGGGGAGUGAAAAAGAACCUGAAACCGUGUACGUACAAGCAGUAGGAGCCCACUUGUUGGGUGACUGCGUACCUUUUGUAUAAUGGGUCAGCGACUUAUAUUCUGUAGCAAGGUUAACCGUAUAGGGGAGCCGCAGGGAAACCGAGUCUUAACUGGGCGUUAAGUUGCAGGGUAUAGACCCGAAACCCGGUGAUCUAGCCAUGGGCAGGUUGAAGGUUGGGUAACACUAACUGGAGGACCGAACCGACUAAUGUUGAAAAAUUAGCGGAUGACUUGUGGCUGGGGGUGAAAGGCCAAUCAAACCGGGAGAUAGCUGGUUCUCCCCGAAAGCUAUUUAGGUAGCGCCUCGUGAACUCAUCUUCGGGGGUAGAGCACUGUUUCGGCUAGGGGGUCAUCCCGACUUACCAACCCGAUGCAAACUACGAAUACCGAAGAAUGUUAUCACGGGAGACACACGGCGGGUGCUAACGUCCGUCGUGAAGAGGGAAACAACCCAGACCGCCAGCUAAGGUCCCAAAGUCAUGGUUAAGUGGGAAACGAUGUGGGAAGGCCCAGACAGCCAGGAUGUUGGCUUAGAAGCAGCCAUCAUUUAAAGAAAGCGUAAUAGCUCACUGGUCGAGUCGGCCUGCGCGGAAGAUGUAACGGGGCUAAACCAUGCACCGAAGCUGCGGCAGCGACACUAUGUGUUGUUGGGUAGGGGAGCGUUCUGUAAGCCGUUGAAGGUGGCCUGUGAGGGUUGCUGGAGGUAUCAGAAGUGCGAAUGCUGACAUAAGUAACGAUAAUGCGGGUGAAAAACCCGCACGCCGGAAGACCAAGGGUUCCUGUCCAACGUUAAUCGGGGCAGGGUGAGUCGACCCCUAAGGCGAGGCCGAAAGGCGUAGUCGAUGGGAAACAGGUUAAUAUUCCUGUACUCGGUGUUACUGCGAAGGGGGGACGGAGAAGGCUAUGUUGGCCGGGCGACGGUUGUCCCGGUUUAAGCAUGUAGGCGGAUGUUCCAGGUAAAUCCGGAACGUCACUAACGCUGAGGUGUGAUGACGAGGCACUACGGUGCUGAAGUGACAAAUGCCCUGCUUCCAGGAAAAGCCUCUAAGCAUCAGGUAACAUCAAAUCGUACCCCAAACCGACACAGGUGGUCAGGUAGAGAAUACCAAGGCGCUUGAGAGAACUCGGGUGAAGGAACUAGGCAAAAUGGUGCCGUAACUUCGGGAGAAGGCACGCUGAUGGUAAGUGAAGCGACUUGCUCGUGGAGCUGAAAUCAGUCGAAGAUACCAGCUGGCUGCAACUGUUUAUUAAAAACACAGCACUGUGCAAACACGAAAGUGGACGUAUACGGUGUGACGCCUGCCCGGUGCCGGAAGGUUAAUUGAUGGGGUUAUCCUCGCGGAGAAGCUCUUGAUCGAAGCCCCGGUAAACGGCGGCCGUAACUAUAACGGUCCUAAGGUAGCGAAAUUCCUUGUCGGGUAAGUUCCGACCUGCACGAAUGGCGUAAUGAUGGCCAGGCUGUCUCCACCCGAGACUCAGUGAAAUUGAACUCGCUGUGAAGAUGCAGUGUACCCGCGGCAAGACGGAAAGACCCCGUGAACCUUUACUAUAGCUUGACACUGAACACUGGUCCUUGAUGUGUAGGAUAGGUGGGAGGCUUUGAAGUGUGGACGCCAGUCUGCAUGGAGCCAUCCUUGAAAUACCACCCUUUAAUGGCUGGUGUUCUAACGUGGGCCCGUAAUCCGGGUUGCGGACAGUGUCUGGUGGGUAGUUUGACUGGGGCGGUCUCCUCCUAAAGAGUAACGGAGGAGCACGAAGGUCAGCUAAUCCUGGUCGGACAUCAGGAGGUUAGUGCAAUGGCAUAAGCUGGCUUGACUGCGAGCGUGACGGCGCGAGCAGGUGCGAAAGCAGGUCAUAGUGAUCCGGUGGUUCUGAAUGGAAGGGCCAUCGCUCAACGGAUAAAAGGUACUCCGGGGAUAACAGGCUGAUACCGCCCAAGAGUUCAUAUCGACGGCGGUGUUUGGCACCUCGAUGUCGGCUCAUCACAUCCUGGGGCUGAAGUAGGUCCCAAGGGUAUGGCUGUUCGCCAUUUAAAGUGGUACGCGAGCUGGGUUUAGAACGUCGUGAGACAGUUCGGUCCCUAUCUGCCGUGGGCGCUGGAGAAUUGAGGGGGGCUGCUCCUAGUACGAGAGGACCGGAGUGGACGCAUCACUGGUGUUCGGGUUGUCAUGCCAAUGGCAUUGCCCGGUAGCUAAAUGCGGAAGAGAUAAGUGCUGAAAGCAUCUAAGCACGAAACUUGCCCCGAGAUGAGUUCUCCCUGACUCCUUGAGAGUCCUGAAGGAACGUUGAAGACGACGACGUUGAUAGGCCGGGUGUUUAAGCGCAGCGAUGCGUUGAGCUAACCGGUACUAAUGAACCGUGAGGCUUAACCUUAC
This 2908-nucleotide ribosomal RNA is filed under the name Klebsiella sp. PL-2018. RNAcentral's name for it is "23S ribosomal RNA". It matches the Rfam family "Bacterial large subunit ribosomal RNA". Lineage: Bacteria; Pseudomonadati; Pseudomonadota; Gammaproteobacteria; Enterobacterales; Enterobacteriaceae. The record is from RNAcentral.